UAUUUCAAAACAUUAUAGAAUUAUCAAUCAUGAAACAUAUGAUGAGCAAGGAAAGAUCCACUCACCUAGAGUCCGUGUUACAACUUCCUAGAACAACCAUCGGGGAGUCCCGAACGAUCGGCGCCUACGGCCAAUUAUUAACCACAUAUCAGAAUCCUCAUCAAUAGAAUACGUAAUUCACAUAAAACACAUCCUCAAGGACAUUCUAAAAUAGUUUGAGACCCAUUGACCAUAAGUCAAUCGUCGAUCAAAGAUCGACAGUAGGGUCUACAACCCUGUAUAACUCGAUCCAGAAGAUCUGCAUAUUAGAUUUUCAAUCUGUAAAUUCCAAAGAUACACAUUAUGCUUCUAGAAUAACAUACUAAAAUUUCAUUGUGAUCCAACGGUCGGAUCUCCGACAAUUUCCCAAAACCAAGUGGCGGUUAACAUUUAUUUUAUAAACUUACACAUCCAAUUCGGGAUGAUCCGUACGUCGGAUUUCUGAUCUAUAAGUUUCUAUGGUCUUUAAAUAUUACGUAAUAUAAUGCAUUAAAUUUUGGUGACGAUCCAAUGGUCGGAUUGUCGAUUACUAUUCUAAUUAAAUGGUGGACCUUAAUGGGACUUUGCCUGAAAUCUGCAGAUUUUGCAGAUUUCCUAAGCGAUCUUUGGAACUCCAUAUCUCACUUGUUUUUCAACCAAAUUUAACCUAUAAUAUACCAAAUCGAAGCUAGAGAAAUUUAGAACAAAAUUAUACCAACUUGGAGUCCAAAUGGUGGCCAGAGGUUGUCGGAAAAUGGUUUGAAAGGCAGCUGUCUGUGAGAAAACUGGCAACUCACCGGAAUUUCUGGGCAACCUUUCAACGUCCAUAACUUUGUCAAUGCUCAACAAAAAGUGAUUCAAAAACGAAAAUCAUUGUUCUUAACGAGACGAAGAAAUUGGUCUUACACGAUGGCUAUCUCGUCGUGAUUUGGCCGGAAAACGCCUUGAAAGUGGCGGAGGUUGCCGGAAACUGGGCAAACAUUAAAUCGUUAUAACUUUCUCAUUUAUCCACCAAAUCACAUGAUCCAACAUGAAAAUUCAUCUACACAACAUGAGGAAUCGAUUUAUACCUAUGACCAAGGCCAAAUAGGCCGGGAAGAGCUCCAAUUUCACUCAAACCCGUUGGAACCCUAAGAUGGGUGUUCUUUGAUUCGACUUCCUUAAUGUUCCAACCACCCUACAAUUGAUUGGGUCUUGUUCUUAGGUCCAUGAUCGGAUCAUAUUUAUAUAUAUUUUUACUUCGAAUUCACUCGUCUUUUCUUGGUUAGUUCCUUAUAUUUUUGAGCUAUUUACGUUAUUUUUGUGUUUAUAGGAUCUGUUAUGCAAUAUUACCUUUUAUUGUCACAUGAUAAUAUUAAUUUACAUUUUAUAAACAAGGUUUGUCCCUCUCUAUGUCUAUAUGUUGAAAGACAAGCAAAAAAAAAUAAUAAAAAGAAGCUGCCCAAGACAGCUAAGGGGAGAAUUGAAAGAGGAAUCCAAGGAGGGCAGCGGGAGAUUAGGCAGACAAAGAAAACCUUUGCAGCUGGCGAGAGAAAGAGGAAAUGAGAAGACUGCGACAAAGGGAAUCCAAAGAAGAAAGCAGGAUAAUUAGAGGGGAGGAAAUAAAAGGAAAUCGGAGGUAUGUAGAGAGGGGGGUCUUGGAGCGGGAGAAGGGAGCUGCCCUUUGGGCAGCUCGCAGAAGGACGAAGAAAAGAGAAUAGGGGAGAGAUAGGAGGGACUGUCAGCGAG
Molecule: long non-coding RNA, 1746 nt
Filed under: Malus domestica (apple)
Lineage: Eukaryota; Viridiplantae; Streptophyta; Magnoliopsida; Rosales; Rosaceae
Description: long non-coding RNA (MDOM_LNC013998)
Source: RNAcentral